RNAcentral lists this microRNA precursor (127 nucleotides) under Myotis lucifugus (little brown bat). Its description in RNAcentral is "mir-9193 microRNA precursor family". It matches the Rfam family "mir-9193 microRNA precursor family". Lineage: Eukaryota; Metazoa; Chordata; Mammalia; Chiroptera; Vespertilionidae. The record is from Rfam by way of RNAcentral.
UGUGCACUGGUGGGGUCCCUCAGCCUGGCCUGCACCCUCUCGCAAUCCAGGACCCCCUGGGGGAUGUCAGACUGCCGGUUUUGGCCUGAUCCCUGCAGGCCAGGCUGAGGGACCCCACCGGUGCACG